AGAGUUUGAUCAUGGCUCAGAACGAACGCUGGCGGCAUGCCUAAUACAUGCAAGUCGAACGAGACCUUCGGGUCUAGUGGCGCACGGGUGCGUAACGCGUGGGAAUCUGCCCUUGGGUUCGGGAUAACUUCGGGAAACUGAAGCUAAUACCGGAUGAUGACGAAAGUCCAAAGAUUUAUCGCCCAGGGAUGAGCCCGCGUAGGAUUAGCUAGUUGGUGGGGUAAAGGCUCACCAAGGCAACGAUCCUUAGCUGGUCUGAGAGGAUGAUCAGCCACACUGGGACUGAGACACGGCCCAGACUCCUACGGGAGGCAGCAGUAGGGAAUAUUGGACAAUGGGCGAAAGCCUGAUCCAGCAAUGCCGCGUGAGUGAUGAAGGCCUUAGGGUUGUAAAGCUCUUUUACCCGAGAUGAUAAUGACAGUAUCGGGAGAAUAAGCUCCGGCUAACUCCGUGCCAGCAGCCGCGGUAAUACGGAGGGAGCUAGCGUUGUUCGGAAUUACUGGGCGUAAAGCGCACGUAGGCGGCGAUUUAAGUCAGAGGUGAAAGCCCGGGGCUCAACCCCGGAACUGCCUUUGAGACUGGAUUGCUAGAAUCUUGGAGAGGCGAGUGGAAUUCCGAGUGUAGAGGUGAAAUUCGUAGAUAUUCGGAAGAACACCAGUGGCGAAGGCGGCUCGCUGGACAAGUAUUGACGCUGAGGUGCGAAAGCGUGGGGAGCAGACAGGAUUAGAUACCCUGGUAGUCC
RNAcentral lists this ribosomal RNA (742 nucleotides) under uncultured bacterium. Its description in RNAcentral is "bacterial SSU rRNA". It matches the Rfam family "Bacterial small subunit ribosomal RNA", at positions 8 to 796 of the family's 1533-position model. The record is from RNAcentral.